This 437-nucleotide ribosomal RNA is filed under the name uncultured bacterium. Its description in RNAcentral is "bacterial SSU rRNA". It matches the Rfam family "Bacterial small subunit ribosomal RNA", at positions 43 to 524 of the family's 1533-position model. The record is from RNAcentral.
CAGGCCUAACACAUGCAAGUCGAACGAGUGCCUUCGGGUGCUAGUGGCGCACGGGUGCGUAACGCGUGGGAAUCUGCCCUGGGGUUCGGGAUAACCGUUGGAAACGACGGCUAAUACCGGAUGAUGAUGAAAAUCCAAAGAUUUAUCGCCCUGGGAUGAGCCCGCGUCGGAUUAGCUAGUUGGUGGGGUAAAGGCCUACCAAGGCGACGAUCCGUAGCUGGUCUGAGAGGAUGAUCAGCCACACUGGGACUGAGACACGGCCCAGACUCCUACGGGAGGCAGCAGUGGGGAAUAUUGGACAAUGGGCGCAAGCCUGAUCCAGCAAUGCCGCGUGAGUGAUGAAGGCCUUAGGGUUGUAAAGCUCUUUUACCCGGGAUGAUAAUGACAGUACCGGGAGAAUAAGCCCCGGCUAACUCCGUGCCAGCAGCCGCGGUAAU